This 240-nucleotide long non-coding RNA is filed under the name Brassica napus (rape). Its description in RNAcentral is "long non-coding RNA (BNAP_LNC003419)". The record is from RNAcentral. Lineage: Eukaryota; Viridiplantae; Streptophyta; Magnoliopsida; Brassicales; Brassicaceae.
UGUUGUGUUUAGUUCAUAAGAAUGGAAAAAGAAGAAGGGUAACUCGAUUUUGGGAGCAUUAAGAGCUUCAAAUUGGUUGUUCAUAGUGGUUAGGGUAUUGAUAACAAUGGCAAUUUUGUAAUUACUUGAAGAUGAUGAGGGUGAGAGAGUAAAAAUGUCAUUUUCGAAAAAAAAAAAAAAUUUGAUGGCAUUUUCGUGAAUUUUAUGAACUUGUGGGGUGAAUAGAGCAAAACCAAUUUU